Molecule: non-coding RNA, 2743 nt
Organism: Cucurbita pepo subsp. pepo (vegetable marrow)
Lineage: Eukaryota; Viridiplantae; Streptophyta; Magnoliopsida; Cucurbitales; Cucurbitaceae
Source: RefSeq, a predicted model, not a curated record
GGCACUAAGCUCCAAACCAAAACCCCCCAAAUUGUUCAUCGCUUUCUAGAACUCUCUACGUCUUCCCCUUAAACCUCUCGUAAGGGUUUAAUUUCAUUCUGGAAUUCGCCUCUUCCACCAACUCUUAUCUUUUCACAGCGCUUCAUGGCUCCAGUUAUCAGCAGAAGUUUAUCCACUGUUGCUCUUUCUUCACUUCCUUCCUCUUUUUCUUACCCUCUACCUACCAGUGGUACGCGCUUGAGCUUGAGAAGCGCUUUUCUGCCCCGAAAUGGGCUCAGAAACGGGUUUUGUUGUGGUGGGUUGAAGUGGAAGAUUGAGAAGAAGGUCAAUCGGAUUGCGGUCAGGUGCGAGGCGGCCGUCGCCGAGAAAGAAGCGGCUGAGACUCCCGGUGAGAAGUUUGAGUACCAAGCUGAGGUUAGUCGCCUCCUGGAUUUGAUUGUUCACAGUCUAUACAGCCACAAGGAGGUGUUUCUUCGAGAGUUAGUGAGUAACGCGAGUGAUGCUUUAGACAAGCUAAGAUUUUUGAGCGUGACUGAACCCUCUCUGCUUGGAGAAGCUGGUGACCUUGAAAUUCGUAUCAAACCUGAUGCCGACAGUGGUACUAUCACCAUAACAGAUACUGGUAUUGGGAUGACUAAAGAAGAGCUCAUUGACUGUCUCGGAACUAUAGCUCAGAGUGGCACUUCAAGAUUCUUGAAGGCCCUGAAGGAAAACAAGGAUGCUGGAGCAGACAAUAGCUUGAUUGGUCAAUUUGGUGUUGGAUUCUAUUCGGCCUUUCUUGUCGCUGAAAAGGUUGUUGUAUCCACCAAGAGCCCAAAAUCAGAUAAACAAUAUGUUUGGGAAGCAGUAGCAGUAGCUGAUAGUAGUUCAUAUGUUAUUAGGGAAGAAACAGAUCCUGAAAAGCUUCUACCGCGGGGAACACAGAUCACACUCUACUUAAGGGAAGAUGACAAGUAUGAAUUUUCUGAUCCUACCAGAAUUCAGGGUUUGGUAAAAAAUUAUUCACAGUUCGUUUCCUUCCCCAUCUUCACAUGGCAAGAGAAGUCAAAAACUGUUGAGGUGGAAGAAGAAGAAGAACUCAAAGAAGGAGAAGAACCAAAACCAGAUGGCAAGAAGAAAAAGAAGACAGUAACCGAGAAGUAUUGGGACUGGGAAUUGGCUAAUGAAACAAAGCCAAUCUGGAUGCGGAAUGCAAAAGAGGUUGAGAAGGAUGAGUACAAUGAAUUCUAUAAGAAGACAUUUAAUGAAUUUUUAGAGCCACUCGCAUAUUCUCACUUCACCACUGAGGGCGAAGUGGAGUUCAGGAGUGUUCUUUAUAUUCCUGGAAUGGCACCUAUGAAUAAUGAGGAUGUUGUGAAUCCUAAAACAAAGAAUAUUCGUCUGUAUGUUAAGCGUGUCUUCAUCUCCGAUGAUUUUGAUGGUGAACUGUUUCCACGAUAUUUGAGCUUUGUGAAAGGUGUGGUAGAUUCCGAUGACCUCCCCCUAAAUGUUUCUCGAGAAAUUCUCCAAGAAAGCCGAAUCGUGAGAAUUAUGAGGAAGAGACUUGUCAGAAAAACAUUUGACAUGAUUCAAGACAUCUCUGAAAGUGAAAAUAAAGAGGAUUACAAGAAAUUCUGGGAGAAUUUUGGCCGGUUCUUAAAAUUAGGAUGCAUUGAGGACACUGGAAAUCACAAGCGCAUAACACCAUUAUUGCGGUUUUACACCUCCAAAAGUGAAGAGGAGCUGAAGAGCUUAGAUGAUUAUGUCGAGAACAUGGGUGAGAAUCAGAAGGCAAUUUACUAUUUGGCGACUGACAGCCUAAAGAGUGCCAAGAGUGCUCCAUUCUUGGAGAAAUUGCUUCAAAAAGAUAUUGAGGUUCUUUACUUGAUCGAACCCAUCGAUGAAGUUGCAAUCCAGAACUUGCAGACAUACAAAGAGAAGAAAUUUGUUGAUAUUAGCAAGGAAGAUUUAGAGCUGGGCGACGAAGAUGAAGUCCAAGAAAGAGAAACUAAGCAAGAUUACAACCUCCUCUGUGACUGGAUUAAGCAACAACUAGGUGACAAGGUAGCAAAAGUCCAAGUCUCUAAGCGCUUGAGUUCUUCUCCGUGUGUCCUAGUUUCCGGCAAGUUUGGAUGGUCUGCAAAUAUGGAAAGGCUAAUGAAGGCACAGGCUCUCGGAGAUACUUCGAGUUUGGAGUUUAUGAGGGGAAGAAGAAUUUUGGAGAUUAAUCCAGACCAUCCGAUCGUCAAGGAUCUAAAUGCCGCUUGCAAAAAUUCACCGGAUAGCAGUGAUGCUACUAGAGCCGUUGAUCUUUUAUACGAGACAGCAUUGAUAUCCAGUGGAUUCUCUCCUGAUAGUCCAGCUGAAUUAGGAAACAAGAUAUAUGAGAUGAUGGCAAUGGCACUUGGAGGCAGAUGGGGUAGAUUAGAAGACAACGUCGAAGAUGAUGCUUCUGCUGCUGCUGCUGAAUCCGAAAGUGCCGAGGCACCGGAAGUGCAAGUGAUCGAACCCUCGGAAGUGAGGGCAGAGGAUGAUCCAUGGCAGGAUUAGGAUGAAAUUAACCUUGGCUAGAUGUUAGAAGCCAGCCUUUUGACACUGCUUUGAAAGAAACAAGAUAUUGGUGGUGUUUGGCAGAUCAUUCAACAAGUUUUGAUUCAUAAAUGCAUCGAUUUCGAUGAUUAAAUCUCGAUCCAGUGGGUAUAAAAAUGCAAAAAGGUACACAAUUCUUGAGAAUAAUGCAAAUGAAAUCUCUCACAGUUUCAAA